UGGUGGCUGUUGGUAGUAUUUUAGUUCAUGUUAUUGGUGGUGUGUUUGGUUUUGUUAAUUUUUUUUUAAGAUUGUUAAAAAUUGCAGAUAAUAAUGAGUUAGUGCAAUGAGUCAAUGACGGUGUAUAUAUAUAGGUUGUCAAACAGGCAAAAAGUAGUGUAUUUGUUUUGUUAAUCUGGAUAAUUUUAUGUUGUUGUCACAAAUGUUAAUUGUUUUUUGAAAUGUAUUUUUUGUAAUGUUGUUUCAGUAUUUUUUUUAAACAACACACAUAGUAAUUAUCUGAGUAGAAUGUGCUUAAUGGGAAUAUAAUUGCAAAGAGAAAUUUAAUCAAAGUGAUUUCAAUACAAAACCACAUGCUGUUACGUGUUCUUUAUGAUGUCAAUGAACAGAAGGCACAAGACAGCAUAUGAAACAUUACGUCUACUGGCAGUUAUGGUGUGCGCCAAGUUGUCAGUCUGCGCUUGCUUGCAAACAGGAAAUGUAAUGUUUCAACAACUUAAAUGAAACGAAACUGCACCAUUUCCUAUCUAUACAAGCACCAGCAGCAGAUGGAGAAUCCCAGUCAAAGUCCAAAUCAUCGAGAGUAGAACCGAGCUCACUCGCAAAGCCAUCAAGAAC
Non-coding RNA from Ciona intestinalis (vase tunicate), 618 nucleotides. Lineage: Eukaryota; Metazoa; Chordata; Ascidiacea; Phlebobranchia; Cionidae. The record is from RefSeq and is a predicted model, not a curated record.